This 301-nucleotide ribosomal RNA is filed under the name uncultured bacterium. Its description in RNAcentral is "partial 16S ribosomal RNA". It matches the Rfam family "Bacterial small subunit ribosomal RNA", at positions 509 to 807 of the family's 1533-position model. The record is from RNAcentral.
CAGUCGCCGCGGGAAUACGUAGGUGGCAAGCGUUGUCCGGAAUUAUUGGGCGUAAAGGGCUCGCAGGCGGUUUCUUAAGUCUGAUGUGAAAGCCCCCGGCUCAACCGGGGAGGGUCAUUGGAAACUGGGAAACUUGAGUGCAGAAGAGGAGAGUGGAAUUCCACGUGUAGCGGUGAAAUGCGUAGAGAUGUGGAGGAACACCAGUGGCGAAGGCGACUCUCUGGUCUGUAACUGACGCUGAGGAGCGAAAGCGUGGGGAGCAAACAGGAUUAGAUACCCGCGUAGUCCCUGUCUCUUAUAC